This 292-nucleotide unclassified non-coding RNA is filed under the name uncultured fungus. RNAcentral describes it as "sequence contains ITS1". The record is from RNAcentral. Lineage: Eukaryota; Fungi.
UUUUUCUUUAUUUUCAAAAGUAACUAUUAUCAGACUACUAUAUAUAAAAGGUUUUUCUCAUAAUUAAGGCUACCCACCGACAUUUCUCCAAGCCCUAUAGUAACUAAACAAUAAGGUUUGGAGGGUAAGUAAAUACUGUUGAAAAGAAUUCAAAAAAAGAAAGACUUUUUCACAAUAUAUAUACCUGUCAAGUGGAAGCAACAUGGAAUAGAUACACAAGGAACGUGGAAAAGGAUUUCAAAAAAAUGAAUUCUUUUUGAUAAUGAUCCUUCCGCAGGUUCACCUACGGAAA